Long non-coding RNA from Gekko japonicus, 747 nucleotides. RefSeq lists it as uncharacterized. NCBI's taxonomy places the organism in Eukaryota, Metazoa, Chordata, Lepidosauria, Squamata, Gekkonidae. The record is from RefSeq and is a predicted model, not a curated record. The transcript has 2 exons.
CCUGGGUUCCUAAGCCUGUCAAGUUCCUCCCACUGAAAGAAGCCUUCCCUUUCCAUCGACAACAAUGUCCGGGUGUGGUUGUGGCGGUGGCAAUGGCGGCAACAUGACCGUCCUCUGUCUCCCCGCUGGGAACCAGGGCGGCGGCUGCUGCCAACCUUGCUGCUGCUGCCGGCCGUGCCAAAGCUGCUGCCAGACAUGCUGUUGCCCAUGCAGGAGAUGCUGUUGACGAAACGUUGACGCUCAGAACGGCCCCGAAACGACGUGGCCUUAAGCCAGCAUUGUGAGCGUCCCUGGGAAGACCAGCCCAUGGAAGAUCCGAGCUCCUCCUUCCCUGUCAAAGCUCUGCACCUGCCUCCUUUCUGUUUUCAGAUUCUUCUGUUCCCGGCUUGACUCCCUGAAAAAGUCUCUCAAGAAUUCCUACCAAGAAGAGGAGGCAUGCCUAUUAGGAUACGCAUUAAUUUCUCAUUCGUCUCAUUGGCUUCCUGGGCUUUGAAACUCUCAUGCUUUCUGGUAUUUAAAAAAUGACAACUUGCAUUGAAAGAUAAACACCGGUGGAAGAGUACCACUCCUUCAGGCUUUAUGUAGUGGUUUGGCGACAUCAUUUCUUCUCUUCCCAAUUCUUCUGGUCGUCCUUGGCAACUAUUACCCAGAAACCCUACAAUCCAGUACCUGGAGAAGACGCUGAUGCAGCGGAAGGAUUCCAUCUUACAUCAAGCACUGAUCGUUGACUCACUUUGGAAAAAAAAA